RNAcentral lists this long non-coding RNA (2521 nucleotides) under Anas platyrhynchos platyrhynchos (common mallard). RNAcentral describes it as "lncRNA (ENSAPLG00000017426.1)". Lineage: Eukaryota; Metazoa; Chordata; Aves; Anseriformes; Anatidae. The record is from RNAcentral.
CUCCUAAUUAGCAUUUUGACCUUUAUGAAGAUAAUUUAGUGAAUCUUUCAUUAGUAGUAGAUCAGGCAGGAGCUGUGGAUUAAAAUGCUAACUUUUUCUGAUGGUACAAAGCUUAGUUUGAAAAGUUUUUUUUAAGUUCCUGUAUUUACUUACUUUGCUGUUUGGUUCUCAGGUGCCCAUUGCUGAUAGACUGCAUUGCUGAUGGAAUACAACUUAACAGACAAUGCACAAAAUUUCAGUCUGGUUCUUAGGGAGGCUUUUUCAAAUCAGAUUUCCAAGCUCGGUUGGACAGGCAUUGUUUCUUGCAAUACUUUUUGAAAUAAUUGUUAAGUGUAUUAAGAGUUAAUGAGAUGUAUCAGUACACACCAAAAGCCUCUGAUCGGUGUGUAUAUGUCCCACUGAAGGCUUCAAGAGCAGUAAGUUGUGUCUAUACGUACUAUACACAGAAUAGAGGAGGCCAGCUGAUAUUUUACAGAUGUUUACUCUGUUUUCAUGUUCUGGACAACAGUUAACAUGUGUCCAACCAUUUCUCCUGAUAAGCAGUCUUUGUAAACUAAUGGUUGUGGUGCCAGGUUCUCAGAGGCUUCAAUAUCACUCAGAUUAUUAACAGUUGUGGAGGCUCUUCAGCUGAUACUUGUCUCAUCUCUACUUGUUGGCAAUCAAUGUAAUACUGUUUCCCUAGUCUAGGCUAAAGAGGCUGUGUGAGUGCAUAUCUCAUCACUCCUGAGCUUUAGAGAAGUUCCUGGGAACUAUAGACUAGGGGGCAGGCCUUCUUUAUAGGUAAGAUGUCACAGUCUGUCAUAUGAAUUAAGAAAACAGAACAUGCAGAAACAAGAUCUGUUGGGAGAAGGACAUUAUGACUCCAGUAAAGGGUCACCUCCUCCAAAGUCAAGAACAGUCCAUCGCCAUGUGCAGGAAGCCAAGCAAAAGUGGCAGGAGGCCUGCAUGGAUCAGCAAGGAUCUCCAAACAAAACUGAGACAUAAAAAGGAAGCAUACAAGAGGUGGAAGCAAGAACGGAGGCCCUGGGAUCCCUGGAGCCCAGAUAUGGAGGACUGUGACUGCAGGAACAAUAAUCUCCCAGCCAAUGACAAGACUAUGCUGUACCAUGUACUGUGGAUGUUCCUGCUAUGCAAACCCAUGUUAAUGGAAUUUGAUAUCUAAAGCCCCUCUAUUCAUUCCAGUAUAUUCCAUAAAUUCUUUCUGGAUUUGAUUUUAUUACCUUUCAACAAACUGAUGGGUUCAGCACUCCCUCUUGUUUUUGCUCUAUAUAUUUCUGCUUUUGAUCCAGCUCUGCUGAAAGUAAUUACAUGUUGCUUUUUGAACCAGUGGUACAAAAGUACCAAAUAACACAUAAAGUAAACCACUCAGAGCCAGCAGCUAACUAUACUCAUUUAUAAUUGUUUUACUAUAUCAAUUGUUUUUACUACCAUACUUCAAAGAAAUGCAUUGAAUAUUUCCAUUUCUGUGUUUCUUGCUCCAGAAAAGUACACAUUCCCAAACAUGUAUCUAAGUGAAGGGGAUUAACAAGUUUCUGUUUUUUAAAAAGUUGACAGAAUCAAGAUUUGUGCCCUAUACUUCAGUUACAGCAGUACUGGGAAUAGGACAGCAGAAGGAUCUGUUGUCUGUAGGCAGUUACAUGUACAUGCAGACAACUUCCCUGAUACUGAAGAACACUGGUAGAUUUUUAUAUACUAAAAAACAUACCACAUUUUGUCUAGAAGAUUUUUUUAAUGAAUAUUUUUCAGUCUGAAUUCCUCUUACGAAGUCUAGGUUGUAUAAGGAGUUCAGAUGAGCAAAACGAGUGACCUACUUUUGUAUUCACAUUGAUUAUGAAGUUUUUCAUAUUUGACAUGAUAGGUAUACAUGAAUGUCUGGGCUACAUGUGUAUACAUUAUGUAUUUAAUACUCUGUUCUACUCAAGUUUUCAGACAAGAAAACUCAUACAUUUUCUCAAUUGAAAAUAUAUACCAUCUUUGCAUUCAGACACACUAUUGCUGUAUGAGUAUUUUCUCAAUAGGUUAAUAUUAUAACAUUAUGUUAUUUAAUUUAGUGGUUAUUCCAGUCCUUUUGCUUUGAACCAUGAUAGUCACUACUGCAGAUAGACCAGUGGAUACAGCAGGGGACUGCUGUAGUCUUUCAGAAACUAUUAGCUUAGAUAUCCUAUUUUGAUACAGCACUCAAAGAAAAAGAAAAAUCCAGAAAUGAGAUAAUUUUAAAAAAUAACUGAUGAAACAAGGAAAGAAAAUAGAAUGGCAUGAACAUAUCCUUCAACUAAAAAUAGAACCAAGAGACAAGGAUGAAACAUAAGCAGUCCAAAUUUGCUACAGUUUUUGGUUUUGUAAAUGUGCAUGAUCUAUUCCCCCCUGCCCCAGUUUACUGUUCUAUGUGAAAGCUGGGUCCCAUAGAGUAAAAUAUGUUGCUUGCUCUAUCACAUUUAUAAAUAAUGAAAAAUAACAUGACAAGGAUUAUUAAGCAGUGUAAAGCAAAUAAAACAAUGGAAGCAGAAAUAACUAGGUAUCA